This is a long non-coding RNA of Acinonyx jubatus (cheetah), 1327 nucleotides long. RefSeq lists it as uncharacterized. The transcript has 3 exons. Lineage: Eukaryota; Metazoa; Chordata; Mammalia; Carnivora; Felidae. The record is from RefSeq and is a predicted model, not a curated record.
CCCCCCGCCCGCUGUGAGUGAGCCCCCCGCUGCGUGGGCGGGCUGCUGCGCUGGCAGGAAGACGGGAGCCCCUGCCACCCGUCCCCACUCCCCUGGGCCUGCAGUUCCAACCAAAGUGGUUCUGGAGGCUGGAGGUCCGUUGUCAAGAUGUUGCCAGGAUUGGUGUCCUCUCUCCUUGGUUUACAGAUGGCCGUCUUCUCUCCAUGUCUUUGCAAAUCUUCAUUUAACAUCCAUCAUGCAUAAAAAGCUGUUAAGUGUGCUCUGAAUGGAAAUGGAUUCAAAGGCGCGUGUCACACAUGGCCUCCUCUAUCAACACGAUUUCAAAUCUUAAUUGAUAACGGAUCAGGUUCUACGGUUAGUAUGUGACAAAUGCCAAAAUAUAAGCUAGCCCUGAAAACAGUGACUAGAGUAUAGGAGAGAGUCACCAGAUGUUUUAAGGAAUUAUUAGAUGCAUAAGAUGAUUUUUUAGCAUUUCUCUUUGGUAUCUGAAGGGGAUAAAAGGGAAGCUGGGGCCAGAGUCCAGAAAAUUUCUUCCUGGAAUUCUCCCAGUAACAACUGAGGCUUUGGGAUGAAAGAUGGGACCACACCUUCAGGGACUCUGAAGUAAACAAUUAAAGUCAGUGGCUGUAGAGCACUUGUGACUCAUCCUCCUAAUUCCUUACUGGAGGACAGUUUUUGGCAAUUUCUUGUGAAAAUCAAUUACGGGGAAUUGAUAAAGAAGAUACACAGAAAGUUUCCAAAUUGUAUAAUAUUUCAAAAAGCCCUAUGUAGUUUGACCAUAGGUUAAUUUUUAUUAGAUGAAUACAUUUACUUGGUCACAGUUUACAGAUCUUUUUUCCCCUUACGACCAGAACUCUACAAUUUUUAUCGUAUGUCUCGAAAAGAAUUUUUCCCCCCUCUGAGGAAGCCCGAGUCAAAACAACAGUGUAUUUCCUUUUUUUCCCCUUCAAAUGUUAGGAACAAUGCUCUUUCUAGAUUGAUAGCCAACAUAUCACGCUUUAAUCCUGCUGGACCUUUAUCUGUGCCGAGUUAGAAACCUUUAAACACAGUUGUUAAUCGUGGCCUAGGCGGGCGGACUUUGAACUGCUAUCACGCACUCAUGGCUGUGAUUUCUACAGACUCGAAGCGAACACUUAGGUUUGCACAGUGUUAAGAUCCUGGGCGUUAGUCAUAAAGGAGUCAUAAAUUAUUCCUGUGCAAAGCUCUCUACUUCUCAUCCGUCUUUUAGACUUAAUACAAAGGCAUGUUAGAAGCGGGUCCUGUUACUGUCUGUGAAACAAUGCAAGGCUGCGGUAGGUCUAUUUGAGACAAGAUUUUACAGCUAUGU